GGUAUCCCAUACACCUCCCCCAGUUACUAUAGCUGCAACUUCGAUGCCUGAGGUGUUGACAGGGGACGAAAUGUCCCAGAUUGAUGACAUCACGCUCUCAGCGAUCGAUUUUGGCCUACAAGGCUAUACGGGUACCCCCUCCGCAUCUAGGGCUUGUCCUAAGAAAAAGAAUUCCUCGAAGAUGCCAAAACAUGCGAAGAAGCGGCCAUUGAGCUUUGUGGAUUUGUUGAAUGCACCUGAUU
Molecule: long non-coding RNA, 242 nt
Organism: Cryptomeria japonica (Japanese cedar)
Lineage: Eukaryota; Viridiplantae; Streptophyta; Pinopsida; Cupressales; Cupressaceae
Exons: 4
Source: RefSeq, a predicted model, not a curated record